GGUUAAGCGACUAAGCGUACACGGUGGAUGCCCUGGCAGUCAGAGGCGAUGAAGGACGUGCUAAUCUGCGAUAAGCGUCGGUAAGGUGAUAUGAACCGUUAUAACCGGCGAUUUCCGAAUGGGGAAACCCAGUGUGUUUCGACACACUAUCAUUAACUGAAUCCAUAGGUUAAUGAGGCGAACCGGGGGAACUGAAACAUCUAAGUACCCCGAGGAAAAGAAAUCAACCGAGAUUCCCCCAGUAGCGGCGAGCGAACGGGGAGCAGCCCAGAGCCUGAAUCAGUGUGUGUGUUAGUGGAAGCGUCUGGAAAGGCGCGCGAUACAGGGUGACAGCCCCGUACACAAAAAUGCACAUGCUGUGAGCUCGAUGAGUAGGGCGGGACACGUGGUAUCCUGUCUGAAUAUGGGGGGACCAUCCUCCAAGGCUAAAUACUCCUGACUGACCGAUAGUGAACCAGUACCGUGAGGGAAAGGCGAAAAGAACCCCUGCGAGGGGAGUGAAAAAGAACCUGAAACCGUGUACGUACAAGCAGUGGGAGCACGCUUAGGCGUGUGACUGCGUACCUUUUGUAUAAUGGGUCAGCGACUUAUAUUCUGUAGCAAGGUUAACCGAAUAGGGGAGCCGAAGGGAAACCGAGUCUUAACUGGGCGUUAAGUUGCAGGGUAUAGACCCGAAACCCGGUGAUCUAGCCAUGGGCAGGUUGAAGGUUGGGUAACACUAACUGGAGGACCGAACCGACUAAUGUUGAAAAAUUAGCGGAUGACUUGUGGCUGGGGGUGAAAGGCCAAUCAAACCGGGAGAUAGCUGGUUCUCCCCGAAAGCUAUUUAGGUAGCGCCUCGUGAAUUCAUCUCCGGGGGUAGAGCACUGUUUCGGCAAGGGGGUCAUCCCGACUUACCAACCCGAUGCAAACUGCGAAUACCGGAGAAUGUUAUCACGGGAGACACACGGCGGGUGCUAACGUCCGUCGUGAAGAGGGAAACAACCCAGACCGCCAGCUAAGGUCCCAAAGUCAUGGUUAAGUGGGAAACGAUGUGGGAAGGCCCAGACAGCCAGGAUGUUGGCUUAGAAGCAGCCAUCAUUUAAAGAAAGCGUAAUAGCUCACUGGUCGAGUCGGCCUGCGCGGAAGAUGUAACGGGGCUAAACCAUGCACCGAAGCUGCGGCAGCGACGCUUAUGCGUUGUUGGGUAGGGGAGCGUUCUGUAAGCCUGCGAAGGUGUGCUGUGAGGCAUGCUGGAGGUAUCAGAAGUGCGAAUGCUGACAUAAGUAACGAUAAAGCGGGUGAAAAGCCCGCUCGCCGGAAGACCAAGGGUUCCUGUCCAACGUUAAUCGGGGCAGGGUGAGUCGACCCCUAAGGCGAGGCCGAAAGGCGUAGUCGAUGGGAAACAGGUUAAUAUUCCUGUACUUGGUGUUACUGCGAAGGGGGGACGGAGAAGGCUAUGUUGGCCGGGCGACGGUUGUCCCGGUUUAAGCGUGUAGGCUGGUUUUCCAGGCAAAUCCGGAAAAUCAAGGCUGAGGCGUGAUGACGAGGCACUACGGUGCUGAAGCAACAAAUGCCCUGCUUCCAGGAAAAGCCUCUAAGCAUCAGGUAACAUCAAAUCGUACCCCAAACCGACACAGGUGGUCAGGUAGAGAAUACCAAGGCGCUUGAGAGAACUCGGGUGAAGGAACUAGGCAAAAUGGUGCCGUAACUUCGGGAGAAGGCACGCUGAUAUGUAGGUGAAGUCCCUCGCGGAUGGAGCUGAAAUCAGUCGAAGAUACCAGCUGGCUGCAACUGUUUAUUAAAAACACAGCACUGUGCAAACACGAAAGUGGACGUAUACGGUGUGACGCCUGCCCGGUGCCGGAAGGUUAAUUGAUGGGGUCAGCGCAAGCGAAGCUCUUGAUCGAAGCCCCGGUAAACGGCGGCCGUAACUAUAACGGUCCUAAGGUAGCGAAAUUCCUUGUCGGGUAAGUUCCGACCUGCACGAAUGGCGUAAUGAUGGCCAGGCUGUCUCCACCCGAGACUCAGUGAAAUUGAACUCGCUGUGAAGAUGCAGUGUACCCGCGGCAAGACGGAAAGACCCCGUGAACCUUUACUAUAGCUUGACACUGAACAUUGAGCCUUGAUGUGUAGGAUAGGUGGGAGGCUUUGAAGUGUGGACGCCAGUCUGCAUGGAGCCGACCUUGAAAUACCACCCUUUAAUGUUUGAUGUUCUAACGUUGACCCGUGAUCCGGGUUGCGGACAGUGUCUGGUGGGUAGUUUGACUGGGGCGGUCUCCUCCUAAAGAGUAACGGAGGAGCACGAAGGUUGGCUAAUCCUGGUCGGACAUCAGGAGGUUAGUGCAAUGGCAUAAGCCAGCUUGACUGCGAGCGUGACGGCGCGAGCAGGUGCGAAAGCAGGUCAUAGUGAUCCGGUGGUUCUGAAUGGAAGGGCCAUCGCUCAACGGAUAAAAGGUACUCCGGGGAUAACAGGCUGAUACCGCCCAAGAGUUCAUAUCGACGGCGGUGUUUGGCACCUCGAUGUCGGCUCAUCACAUCCUGGGGCUGAAGUAGGUCCCAAGGGUAUGGCUGUUCGCCAUUUAAAGUGGUACGCGAGCUGGGUUUAGAACGUCGUGAGACAGUUCGGUCCCUAUCUGCCGUGGGCGCUGGAGAACUGAGGGGGGCUGCUCCUAGUACGAGAGGACCGGAGUGGACGCAUCACUGGUGUUCGGGUUGUCAUGCCAAUGGCACUGCCCGGUAGCUAAAUGCGGAAGAGAUAAGUGCUGAAAGCAUCUAAGCACGAAACUUGCCCCGAGAUGAGUUCUCCCUGACCCUUUAAGGGUCCUGAAGGAACGUUGAAGACGACGACGUUGAUAGGCCGGGUGUGUAAGCGCAGCGAUGCGUUGAGCUAACCGGUACUAAUGAACCGUGAGGCUUAACCUU
RNAcentral lists this ribosomal RNA (2904 nucleotides) under Escherichia coli. RNAcentral describes it as "23S ribosomal RNA". It matches the Rfam family "Bacterial large subunit ribosomal RNA". The record is from RNAcentral. Lineage: Bacteria; Pseudomonadati; Pseudomonadota; Gammaproteobacteria; Enterobacterales; Enterobacteriaceae.